UGCCCUUGAAGCAGCACAGUGGAAUAAAGUGCGAGCAGCCAUACGUACAUGCUCACUCUCAUCUUGCCAGAAACUCACCAAAAGCUGCAGUAAAGGUGGUUUUAUAUCUGGAAUUUGGUCAGCAAAAUUCCGGGUGUAAAAUGCUGCUAAAGCCCUGCUGGCUGCUGAACUGGAGGGAGACAAGCUAAUCAUGCCUUGGGCGAUUGACACCAUCGUCAGUGAUCUCAUAGCACAAAACUCGGAUGAUGAUUUCCACAGCUCAAGAGCAGCACUCAAACCAGGAAAAGUAAGGGUUAAAGACCCUUUGUCCCCUUGCAAACCAGAAGCUAAAAUAAAAUUCUCUGGUCUCUUUAGCUUCAUGUCCAUCAUUAGCAAUUUAUCAAGCUCACUAUCUACAUUCCACAAAUGUAAAAUAGAUAAACUAAAUCUAAGUAGUAAUUCUUCUAGUGACCUAAUCCAAUCCUGCCCCUCUACAGCAUCAAUAGAGAUCCCAUUCUUAUCACAACUAUCAUCAAUGGAUACAUGGUGGGGACUUGGGGUAUUUGUUCCCUGUUCCUUAACAUUGGUAUUCUCCAGCUUAUCACUGCCAUUUGCUACAGACUCACGCUUCUGACAAGAAAACAUCAAUGAUGCAAGGUCAAAAGUGAGAGUAGCAAUCCCAGGAAAUGGACAAGUGCAUCUAAUGGGA
RNAcentral lists this unclassified non-coding RNA (688 nucleotides) under Hevea brasiliensis (rubber tree). The record is from RNAcentral. Lineage: Eukaryota; Viridiplantae; Streptophyta; Magnoliopsida; Malpighiales; Euphorbiaceae.